This is a long non-coding RNA of Salvelinus fontinalis (brook trout), 4042 nucleotides long. RefSeq lists it as uncharacterized. The record is from RefSeq and is a predicted model, not a curated record. The transcript is spliced from 3 exons. NCBI's taxonomy places the organism in Eukaryota, Metazoa, Chordata, Actinopteri, Salmoniformes, Salmonidae.
CUGCAGCACAAACAGGUUAAUGUGAAAGUUAAAUAUUUAAAAAAUAUAUAUUUAGAAUUUCGCGCCCUGCACUUGAGCUGGCUGUUGUCAUAAGUGUACCGACGUCGGGCUGCAGCCAUAAGAAGUUAAGGUCGCUGCUCGGGCUCCAAAUGACCUAUCGAGCCGAAACUUGGGUUUCGGGGUUGCCUCAGCUAGGCCUACACAAUGUCAGAACUGGACCCGCAGCUAGAACGUAACUACAUGUUUUUAUUAUGGUUUAAUUGGUGCAGAAAAUCAUUUUUUUCCCGGGCGUCGCUACAUGGUCCUUGAAUGAGCUAUUGGACAGAAACGUUAGGUUCCGUCUCUAUGGACCGAGGUGGUUUCAAUGCACCUAGUCUUGCGACUCUGGGACUUUUCUAAAUGUCGUCUUUUUCGUGAUGGUCAAAAUGAAUUGAAGUUAUUGCAGACGUACGAGGCUGUUUCUCGGUCUGAGAACCUUCUAGAGACGCAACUCACCAUGCACUAUGGACUUGAGCUCUAUAACAGGUUUCAGAGCUCUAGGUCUGAUGGUUCUUUGAUAGUUCAAACAAAGGUAACUAUUGCAGGCUCUGUCUCUAAGCCCCACACUGUGUCACUCCAUCCUUGCUGUGUGUUUUUUCUUUGACAUGUGUUGGGAGAAAUUACUGAUUUACAGUUCAUGAGGGUUGCCUAAUCACACAUGAAGUUUUGGAAAGAUGUGACCUUUCUAACCCUUCAAAACAGCCCACGUGACCCCAAUUUAAGGCACUUCCGGUGGACACGGGAAGCUGAAAGUGAACACAUAUAUCCUCCGUGGUGGUUGGCUCUUACAGUUUUAAGUCUUUACGUUAAGAACUGACUGAUUUACAGAGGGUUGGAUGAGUGUGUGAUUUCAGAAAAUCACAGAAGUCUCGCAGAGCUCCGAAACCCUGCCUUAAUGGAUUCGUUUGAACAUGCCGCAACUGGAUCUAACUUUUUGGAGAAAAAAAACAUUUCUUUUGAUUAGCACCAAUUGUACAUUGUAUGAUUUCUCUUAGAUGAUGGUAGAUAAAUGGCUGGUUCAACUUUUCCGUAGGUUCAUGUACUUUGACGUGAAGCUGUCAAAUUAGCACACUAUUUUCGUUUUUGAAUUUUAAUCCCAGAAAAAUGGCCUAAACUCAAAGCGUUGAGGCCUCGACGCCAUCUUGUUUCUGGGAAAACAGCCCAUUAGUCCAAACCUAUGCUCGCCAUGUUUCGUCUUCGAAGCCUUUUCUGAUUAGGAGAAAUGGCCAUGUCGUGGUUGGUGAUGUUUUGUACAUUUGCAAUAUGAUUCCAUUCGCCAUCUGGUGGAAUUAACGGGACAGCGGAAAAAUUACAUUUUAUGAAACGGAAACUGAAUGUCCGAGAGACUUCGUUCGAUAACUUCCCGGAAGAUCUGGCCCCGGUGCACGACCCGCCACCAAAUUUUUAAAACAUUCGCGUACGUCUAGUAAGGGACCGUACAUUUGCAAUAUGGAGAUUUUCAUCGAUCAUACAGCAAAUAAAAAAAGUGCCCAUGUAUGUAAAGGAAUUACAGGAAUAGCGAUAAAAUUAUUCACUUACUUUUGACUGCAACCAUGAAGAUCUUCAGUCCCAGCUACACAAUAAUUGUUUUUUGUUCGAUAAAGUUCCUUUUUAUGUCCCAAAAACUCAAUUUGGUUGGCACGUUUUUGUUCAGUAAUCCACUGGCUCAAAGGCAGUCAUGACAUGCAGAUGAAUACAUCCUAAUAGUAUCGGUGAAGUUCGUCAACAUGUCAAACGAUGUUUAUAAUUAAUCCUCAGAUUGUCUAAAAUAAUAGAUAAUAUUUCAACCGGACAAUGGCGUUUUCAAUUGAAAGGAAAAAUAACGAAGGGCGCGCAAUCGGUCACUCGCGCCAACCAGCUCUGCUUCUUUCUACAGUCCACUGAAAGUGAAAGAAUGGUCUCAUUCUUCCUCAUUUUUCAGAAAACAAGCCUGAAACAAUGUCUAUAGACUGACAUCCAGUGGAAGCCAUAGGAACUGCAAUCUGGGUCCUAUCCCAUACUGUAUAGGCAUUCAAUUGAAAAGUACCCACAUCAAAAAUAUCCCUCUUCCUGGAUGGAUUUUCCUCAGAUUUUCGACUGUUAUACUCACAGACAUUAUUAUAACAGUUUUGGAAACUUUUGUGUUUUCUACCCAAUAAUACCAUGCAUAUCCUAGCUUCUGGGCCUGAGUAACAGGCAGUUUACAUUGGUCACCUCAUUCAUCCAAAAUUCAAAAUACUGCCCCCUACCCAAGAGAGGUUAAAGUACACAUAAAUGCAUGUGGUUCUAGUUUGUGUGCCUUGCACAUGUGUUGUAUCUAUCUUUCUUUCUGUGCAGCUGAUUUCAUUAUCUGGGCUCGAGAGGCAGGUGCCGGUAAUGGAGGGCCCAGGUCAGGCGCAGCCCACCUUUGAGGAAAGGGAAGAUGGCUCCUCUGGGAUCUCCUACGUUGCUCAGGAACCAGGUGAGGCCAUAAAAGCUCCUCCCUCGGUUGACAUACAAGAUGCUGCUUGAUUGGUCAAUUCAGAAAGGUCGUAACUUGCUUCUGGUGGGGCUGACUGAUCCCACUGUGGUGUGAGGACGUGUCAAACACCUUGGCAACAAUGGCUAUGAUAUCAACUAUGUUAUCAAGGAGGGGGCAGCUAUAUAUUGGCUCUGAAGUGAGGGGAGGAGUAUAUUACAGGGUCUCCUUUCCAUGUCAUUGCCUCUGUUGGGGUUUGUUUCCUUGACAAUCAUUGAUACAUUGAUGACAUUAUCAUUACAAUAUCUUUAAUUAAAUCAUUCAAAAACCUUUAAUGUAAUUGCAGACAGAUGUUGACAUCAGGAACCUAAUGCAUGUUUCUGAGUAAGUCCUGCAAAAAUAUAAAAGGUCCCAAGUUAUUUUAUUAAACCUGAAGUCCAGCCCUUGUGAUGUCAUUGCAUACGUCAUUACCUUAUACUCUUCAGAGCAAGCCCAUGCAUAUAGACCUAUAUAAACUUGCAAGAGAGAUAUAAUAGUUCCAGUGUUUUCUAAGGCCUAGGCAAAAAAUGUCCACUCCAGUUAAUUUAUUGUGGAAUGUCUGACUAGUCUCUUAUCUCCUACACUCUCCUGCAGAGUUCUGUCUCAGUCACACAUUUCUCAGAGGGGGUUCUUUUAUAAGAGGCAUAGAGACCAGAAAACAACUCUAGAACAACACUAAACCUCUAUAAUGAAUAUAUAUUGUUAAUCUGUAGUCUAGGACCCUAUAAGUGUAAUGAGGGUGGGGUCUUAUAACCCCUCCCCUUCUAUUAAUACAGCAUAAUCAAUUAUUAUAAUACAUCAAACAUUUGGUACAGCCCCUAUCAUGACCCAUAGGUGAACUCCUGACACCGCAUAAAGGAGUCUCAUUCUGGGGCUAGACAACAUAAAUCCCAGAGCAAAGAGAUUAUAAGGAGAGGGGGAGAGUGGAGGAGUUUGGGAAAUGGAGUGCAUGAAAGCAAUUCUUUACAGCAAUUAAUUAUAAUACUUAUCAUCGAGAGAAAAAAAUGAUGCAUAUCCAUCUGAAUCUGAUUCUUGGAUGUAUAGCAAUCAUUGCAGUCUUCUGUUAUAUUUGGGCAACCAGAGUUCUUAGUCAAUAGAUGCUUUUAUACUGUAAAAAAACUAUAAACACUUGUUUUUUUACAUUAUAUAUUUUAUUUCAACACUUUGAAUGGACUUAGUUUGCUUUGUAUUGCAUAAAUUACAUCACUCAGACUAUAGACACAUUUAACUGAAUGUUUAACCCUUUAAUCUGUCACGUCUACUCUCCCUCUCCAGCUCUCAACGUCGUCGGUUUACUAACCACUGGUCCUGGCAAUCAUCAUUACACAUGCCUGGCAUCAUCAUUACGCGCACCUGCGCCUCAUUAUGAGGCACACCUGGACUCACUACACUGAUUACCUCCCUAUAUCUGUCACUCCCUUGCCUCCAUUCCCCAGGCAGUAUUGGUUAUGUGUUUCAUGUCCAGACGCAAAUUCUGUUUUGUAUCGUUCUGUUUCUUAUAUUAUUAAACUCACCUCCUGUUCUUGA